CUAGCGGCGGACGGGUGAGUAAUGCUUAGGAAUCUGCCUAUUAGUGGGGGACAACAUUCCGAAAGGAAUGCUAAUACCGCAUACGUCCUACGGGAGAAAGCAGGGGAUCAUUUGACCUUGCGCUAAUAGAUGAGCCUAAGUCGGAUUAGCUAGUUGGUGGGGUAAAGGCCUACCAAGGCGACGAUCUGUAGCGGGUCUGAGAGGAUGAUCCGCCACACUGGGACUGAGACACGGCCCAGACUCCUACGGGAGGCAGCAGUGGGGAAUAUUGGACAAUGGGGGGAACCCUGAUCCAGCCAUGCCGCGUGUGUGAAGAAGGCCUUUUGGUUGUAAAGCACUUUAAGCGAGGAGGAGGCUCUCUUGGUUAAUACCUGAGAAGAGUGGACGUUACUCGCAGAAUAAGCACCGGCUAACUCUGUGCCAGCAGCCGCGGUAAUACAGAGGGUGCGAGCGUUAAUCGGAUUUACUGGGCGUAAAGCGCGCGUAGGUGGCUAAUUAAGUCAAAUGUGAAAUCCCCGAGCUUAACUUGGGAAUUGCAUUCGAUACUGGUUGGCUAGAGUAUGGGAGAGGAUGGUAGAAUUCCAGGUGUAGCGGUGAAAUGCGUAGAGAUCUGGAGGAAUACCGAUGGCGAAGGCAGCCAUCUGGC
This 646-nucleotide ribosomal RNA is filed under the name Acinetobacter sp. RNAcentral's name for it is "bacterial SSU rRNA". It matches the Rfam family "Bacterial small subunit ribosomal RNA", at positions 92 to 733 of the family's 1533-position model. The record is from RNAcentral. Lineage: Bacteria; Pseudomonadati; Pseudomonadota; Gammaproteobacteria; Moraxellales; Moraxellaceae.